This 72-nucleotide transfer RNA is filed under the name Rhodanobacter glycinis. RNAcentral's name for it is "tRNA-Ala". It matches the Rfam family "tRNA". Rfam says of the family: Transfer RNA (tRNA) molecules are approximately 80 nucleotides in length. Their secondary structure includes four short double-helical elements and three loops (D, anti-codon, and T loops). The record is from RNAcentral. Lineage: Bacteria; Pseudomonadati; Pseudomonadota; Gammaproteobacteria; Lysobacterales; Rhodanobacteraceae.
GGGGGAAUAAUAUAAUUGGUAGUAUACUGUGUUUGCAUCACAGCAGUCUGGGUUCAAGUCCCGGUUCCUCCA